Molecule: long non-coding RNA, 1735 nt
Organism: Equus caballus (horse)
Lineage: Eukaryota; Metazoa; Chordata; Mammalia; Perissodactyla; Equidae
Source: Ensembl
UACCCUGGGGGACCACAGCAUGCUAAAAAGUCAAGAACAAAGUGGACAGCCCAAUCCGGCACUUUCUACACGACCAACACUGAUAGAAAACCAGGGCUGUGUCAUUCGGCUAGAGCCGAACCAGAGGUGUGUCUCUCUAUUUGGAUAGUUCUUCCUUCUGAAAUCCAAAAGUUGGGAUGUGGUAAACUUCUCAGAUCCUGCUUCUCAAUAUGGUAUUUUACAUGUGUUCUCUAAAAAUACUUUUUCACCUUCUCAGCUUAUAUCAGAGCAAUUUAGCACCAUUUGAUUAGAACGCCCAGCCCUUCUUUGUAGCCAGCCUGGACUGUCCUCCCCGUCUGGAGUCAUUUUGGCUGCAAAGUGAGGUCUCAGCGGGGUCAGCUGGGUGUCCAGACGUCAGGUAUCAGGCGUGUGGUGAGCGCCUCCAAGGCCACUUUCCUCUCAGCAAUGCCCACUAGGUGACGCCUGUGAAUGGAGUAGCUUUCCAGAGAGCAGGCUUCCUCUCUUCCUUCCUUCCCAGGCCCACAUCUUGCCUCGAAGAUGCUUAAGUGGCAGGAUCCUGAAGAAAUUAUUCUCUGCCUGUUGCUUAGAGAGAGGGCACGUGAGGAUCUCAGGCAGCCAGAAUACUCUUGCGACCAGAAUACUGACAUUUCUGCUUAGUGUGUGCGAUGGUCUAAUUAUAAAAGUGGGAAAAAGCCAAAAACUGUAUAACCUGAAGAGUUUUAGAUUUCUGGGUAGGUUCAUAACUGCUUUCCAAAUGCAAACAAAAUUGCCUGAACUAAGGUGGCUUCUGAUCGUCCUGGGGUGGUAAUCUGAAUACGUGAGCAUUCUGGAAGGAGAUUGGAGACAGGUGUGACUGGAGGCAGGUGUGAUUCUUUUGAGUAUAACAGCGGUUCCCAGACUGGAGUGUGCGUCAGAAUCAACUGCAGGUAUUAUGAAACCACAGAUUUCUGGGUCCCACUCCCAGAGUUCCUGAUUUGGAAAGUCUUGGAUGAGGUCUGAGAAUCUGCAUUUCUUACAAGUUCCCAGGUGAUGCUAAUGCGGCUGGUCUGGGGACCUCACCUAGAGAACCUCUGCAGGACAGCGUUCUGUUAACAAUAAGUUUCCAAUGCGCCACCACCCACCGGAAAAAGAGCACACAGUGACUGACAAGUAACAACUUCUUGCCAGAGCCCAGGAAACAAACGGGAGCUUCAUGGAUUCUUCUAGAAGCAGAAGGAAGAGGGAUCAAAGUUUUCCACAAACUUUUGGUGAACCUUGUAAAAUACGGACUAUUCUGCAGAUUGGGAAAGAUGUGACUUCUAUUUGUCUUUCAUAUUCUAAAUAUUUUCUGUGAUUUAAAGCAUUCAUUGCUUCCCUUUGCUGUCAAGGAAAUGAAGGAAACACAUUUCAGUAGCACUUUUCUGAAUGCACUUAUCUCUAGCUACUGCUAUAAAUAUGUAGUGAUCACAUUCUCCCAGUGCCCAAUAAAUCAAGCUCUUUGGCCAGAACUUUACUUGUGUCCUGGGAAGAAAUAGUCUCCUCCCCAAGUUAUAUCGUGAAUUCUACAGUAACUCCCUUUCCUAGGGACAGAAAGUAAGCAAGGGAAAAUAUGGGUUUAAAACAUACUAAUUUCAUGCCUUGAUUUACAACAGGUUGUGGACAUCUGUGUAAACUGGUGGCUGGAGGGUGCAAUUAUGUUUGAGAGUCACUUAUUGAGUACCACCUGUGAUCCAGGCACUGUUUUUGGUGCAAAGAU